RNAcentral lists this ribosomal RNA (461 nucleotides) under uncultured bacterium. RNAcentral's name for it is "SSU rRNA". It matches the Rfam family "Bacterial small subunit ribosomal RNA", at positions 26 to 518 of the family's 1533-position model. The record is from RNAcentral.
AGAAUCAACGCUGGCGGCGUGCCUAACACAUGCAAGUCGAACGAGAAAAUGGUAGCAAUACCAUGAGUAAAGUGGCGCACGGGUGAGUAACACGUGACUAACCUACCCUUGAGUGGGGGAUAACUGAGGGAAACCUUAGCUAAUACCGCAUAAUACCCACGGGUCAAAGGAGCAAUUCGCUCGAGGAGGGGGUCGCGGCCGAUUAGUUAGUUGGCGGGGUAAUGGCCCACCAAGACGAUGAUCGGUAUCCGGCCUGAGAGGGCGCACGGACACACUGGAACUGAAACACGGUCCAGACUCCUACGGGAGGCAGCAGUGGGGAAUUUUGCGCAAUGGGGGAAACCCUGACGCAGCAACGCCGCGUGGAGGAUGAAGUCCUUCGGGACGUAAACUCCUUUCGAUCGGGACGAUUAUGACGGUACGGAAGAAGAAGCCCCGGCUACUUCGUCGCCAGCAGCCGC